CCUCUGAUCUAGCUUUGACAGUACCAGAAGG
This 31-nucleotide non-coding RNA is filed under the name Rattus norvegicus (Norway rat). Lineage: Eukaryota; Metazoa; Chordata; Mammalia; Rodentia; Muridae. The record is from RNAcentral.